Molecule: long non-coding RNA, 1760 nt
Organism: Rhagoletis zephyria (snowberry fruit fly)
Lineage: Eukaryota; Metazoa; Arthropoda; Insecta; Diptera; Tephritidae
Source: RefSeq, a predicted model, not a curated record
UCUGAUGGUCACAAACGAGUCGUAGAUUUGCGCACACAAAGCGGUAUACUCACUCGACCGCUCGUAAAACUUUGCCUUCUACCGACCGAAAACGCCAACAAUCAAUGAAAAACCAAAAUCGCAACUCCGUCAUACCUAAAACCGCAAAUAAACCGGAAACCACGCAACUCAAUUAACGUACAUAAACAGAUCCUUCAAUAAUGUACACCUGAAUAACCAAAUAAUUGAGCGUUAGCAUGCAUGCUUUCUCCCCCGCAAAACACUAAAGUCGCCUUUCGUUUCAUAGAAAUGGACGUUGACAUGGCUACCCCCUCUUCCAACCCUACGCCGGCAGUCCGGACCAACGCAGCAGUAGCACCGCGGGCAUCAGCGCCACCGAUUGCGGCACCACGGUCUGCCACAUCAUUCGCCGGAGCAGCUCCAGUGCCAUCCCCUCGCCCAGGCGUUCGGCGAGCGGCAACAUCAGCAACCGCAGCGCCACAAGGCGCACCCUCAGCAUCCGCUGCACCCGCAGCAUUCGAACUGCCAUUAACGGAGGAGCUGGAUCAAGGCGUCCUUCUUUGUGGCCUCUGUCACCGGCGCCACGCAUUGAGCGCCUGUUCUAUAUUUCGGCCCCUGCAACCGGCCCAGCAGCAGCAAGUGCCACGGGCGCACGGGCACUGUUUGAACUGCCUCGCGCUGUCCCACAUGACAUGGGAAUGUACCUCACGCAGCCGGUGCCACGUAUGUCAAAGGCGCCAUCACACCGUGUUUCACCAAUUCCCGUCGGGUCCACGGCGCAAACUCGCACGAAGACAGCAACUAGCUCCAGCUCCAGGUAAUCGACGCCGGCAUCAUGGCCAGCAGCAGAAUGUCCAAAUUCGGAGACUACCAACGGCUCACUACAGCCCCCCAUCAUCCCACCGCGGCCGACAGCAGUCCAGUAGUGCGUUUCUGUAACCUUGCGAUACACCCAAUAUCGUAAAAUAUAACGCUUUUUCACUUUUAUCGCAAGCGAGAGUUUCUGUAACUGUGCUGAAAAAAAUAUUGCGAUAAAUGAUGCGAUAAAUAUGUCACUGGCUGUAAGUCAAGUGAAGUUUGGUUUUCGAAGCGAAAAGCUUCCAAUAUGAGCGAGAAAAAAGUACGGACGGGAAAAAUAACAAAACAACAAAAAUCCAAACGGUUUGAGGGAGGAGCUAAAUGCAUGCGGAGGUGCAUGCAAGACCACUGAACAGUGGAAGAAGUGUUGGUCGGACUGGAAGGUUGCAGUGAAGAAGCAACAAAGUGCCUACAACAGAUUCAAAAAUUUGACCGGCAACCGUCCUCCCAGUGAAUGACCGAAACCAUGUGAAGUUUUGGAUGCGGAGGUAUUGGAGUUAUUUCCAGCAGCAGUCUUGAUGGAGAUGGUAAAACAAUUGAAGCCGGAGUCCAUGAGGAGAACGUGGAUGAGGCACUCGAAGACGAGUACUUGGCUGAAUAUCUCAUCGAAGACGAAAUGCCAAGUAAGUCUAAGGCCGCUUCUGCUGAGAAGACGUUCAAUAUCUGCGCAUCCAAAUCGUCAUUUCAUUUAUCGCUGCAAGAAGUCAAAAAAGAACUGUCAGCUCAGAACGAAGUUCAUAUGAGAAAAUUAGAUGAUAUUAUUAAUAUACUCAAGGAAAUGAAUUCAAAUAUUUUAACAUUAAUAAAUAAAAUACAAUAAAGUGGGUAGUUUUCUUAGACUUCAUUAUAUUUAAGAAAUAAAGCAAAGUAUAUUACAAAUAUGCAUAAGCGUCGCUUGCAUC